UGAAAACAAGUGCCGAAUAAUUUUUUUCGUAUAUAUCUAAAUCAAGAAGAAGAAUCGAUCAGAUUUCGAAAUCGAGCUUCCAACGAAUUCGGUGAUCGAGAACAGAGGAAGAGAACGAGUUUUAUCUCAUAUAACAAUUUGGGAUACCUUUUCACGGGUAAUAAAGCAAGAGUGGGUCCUCGUGAAACGAUGAAGUGGGUAUUAGGAUUCUCUCGAAUUAACCUUCCUUCAGUAUGAAACGGCCUGAAAAAAAAAAGAAAUUAAUUCGGGAUUUCCAUUUUUCCUGACAAACCUUUUAACCCUUAACGCACUCGAGAAGCGAAUUCAUUACCUGCCAAUUGGCUUUUUGCGUAGAGAGAGACAAAGUUUCGGUGGUGAAAUCGACGGAUGAUGUUACUUAAGCGAGGUAUAAAAAUGUACGAUGAAAAGUUCCAAGAAUUUUCAUCCAUUGGAAAAAAUAUGAACAAACUUUUCAAUUAUUUUAUUCUUCUACAAUUGCCAAGUUCAGAAGAAAUAUAUUUUCUUCUUUUUCUUAUAAUGCCCUUCGCAUUUACAGUCUCCAACGUCAAGCUCUCGGAAAGAGACCCGCAUAAGAAUUGAAUUCGCGCAAAUUUUCGAAAUAUCGCGUCUCGUCUCGUCGCGAAGGGGCGUCGAAAUCGUACGUCCCUCGAGCAACGACCGGCAAAAAUUGUUGACCCCUGAGGGGGGCAGGGAGGGGGAUAAGAGGGCGGGUAGAUAUAUAAGAAGCAGAUGCGUCUGUCAUUAAUAUGAGCCGGCCAAGCUAUUAAUAACCGGUUAAUGAGGCCUCUCGGUCCCUCCCUCCCCGUGUCGUGCGUGUAUGCACCAGUGAUCCCGCGUGUGACGGACGCGCGCGUGUUUGUAACGAGGCGCAUUGUUGCGGAGGAGCGUCGUCAAAGCCCUUCGAGAGAUCCUCGUGAUUUAUAAUCACCAGCCCUCCUCCUCUUGGCGGCAAAUUUUCGGCCUCCUCGAGGGAUGAUUUUUAAUUUUCCUUUAAACGGAUAUCGUUCACUUUCGAGCAAGCUAUUCAACUAGGAUUUUAACGAGAGGAGGAAACGUUCCGGAGGACAGCUGUUCGACACGGGACAAACUACCGUCAAAUUGCACGUUGCCGCGAGCGGAGGUUAGGUUCGGAAACGAAAUAAAUAAGCGGGGAAAUAUCGAUGUCCGUCAUCUUUGUAUCGCCAGAAUACUUCCUUUUCGCGGUUAUAUUCGUAAUUCGACUUGUAAGGAGUAGGAAUUCGAUCUAACUUUUGCCAACUUCGAUAUUUCUCAACGUCCACCUCCACUCGUUUCCACAAACGUGGAGAACCUCCCCUCCUCGGAUAUAAUAAUUACAACCGUUCGAGAAUCCGAGGAGGAUGAAACGGUUGGAGGGAAAUUCAGGGGGGAAAAAUGGCACGCGAGGACGGAAGUGGGGGGAGGGUGAACGGUAAUUAAAUGAGAACCCCGGCGUACGAGCGCGAGGAACGCCCACGCCAUGCAUCAAGCAUGACGUGGAUAGGUAAUGCUGCCGCGGAGAAGAUGGAGAAGAUGGUCCUCGAAGAUACAGGCCCUCCGGUUCCUACGUUAGUUGGGGUCAGCUAUCUCGCGCGACCCAUCUCCGCCUAUCCAAUCACACACAGCAACUAUGGCACGCAAGCGAUAAUACACGGUGUCCCAAUUAUCCCGCGACACGGCAGGCCUCUCUUCUCCAAGUAUCUUUUUCCUUUUUCUUCGAAAUCUGUCUUUCUCUUUAUAAAUUCUUCCUCCUCCUUCUUCUCGGCCGAGUGUUGUUAUUUCGAGAGAAAUAAUCUCUCGAGAGAUGGCGGGCGAACGAGGAGGAGGAGGAGAGCCUUUUCGUUGUGUAUGGAGGAUAUAUAUAUAUAUGUACGUAGGCGAGGGCGACAGAGUUAAUGAACGGUUGCGCGUAAUGAAAAUGUCCGUGCGAGGUGACGUUGAACGAGCAGCGUGGAAAGGGUGAAGAGAUAAUGACGACGUGCGCACAAGUGGAGUAAAUUGUGGGACAUAUCGAAGGGAGAUGGGAUGUUGCCAGUUUAAGGAUCCCGGCCUGAUGGGGGACGUUGCUGGAAACAAAGAAGUCGAGACGUUAUUGGGGUUAUGGUAAUUAUAGUUAUUAGGUGCCUGUAUAUAUAUAUAUAUUCUUGUGACGUAAGAUAUUCUUCUUGGAGAAACGAGGAGGAUAAAUAUUUUUGUCAAAGAAGAUCUGGCAUUGUCGGAAUUGAUCGAAGAGGGAGAUUGGAAAAGGAAUUGGAGGAGGAGCGGGCGCACAGGUGAGAGCGAGGAUGCAAUUAUCGAAAGACAGCGAUGGAGGUUAACCACGCCCCUGUCCCCUCGAGCGGCCAAUCGCGGCUGUCGCUGGUGUCGCCCUGCCGCGGGGACACAGCUCGGCGACAUUCCGACUCGACGGGAACGAAUCACGCGACGCUUUCCACUCGCGACACGGCACCACUUUCCCGGCCAAUCAACGGAAUCCCUCGUUCCCGUUCCCGACGACCGUCUCGACGAUUCCUAUUGCUUGCCAUUUUACGUUUCUUCCCGUUACUUAAUAUACUCGAACAGAUUAAACGAACGAACGUUAACGUAAUACGCGAGUAUUCAUGAAUCCCAACGAUCCCGCGGCAAAUAUUAUACGUUCUCCUUAAAAAUCUUGAUAUUCGCAUCGAUGAUUCCGAAUCGUUCUAAAAUCGUGUAAAAAUUUCCAGGUAACUGGAUAUUGUAUCGCGAAGAAAGUUUAAAUUUUCGGAGAAGAGAUUCGGCCAACAAAAUCGGAGAAGUUUGCGGAGGGCCCCACCCACGGCGAAGGGCGGCGACCCGGCGAAAUCUGUCGCACGCUCGAGAAGAGUGGCGGUUGGUUGACACUGGGGGGAGGGAGGGGAGGAGGCCAGUGCUGGCGCGGAUGCGGGGAGGCAUGCGACACUCGGCGCGGAGCGGGGAGAGGGUGGCUCGCGCGGGGAGUGACAAUCGCGAGAGGACUGUGACAGGGACUCGAGCGAAUCAGGAGGGUUGGCGACGUCCUGGAGGACGUCAGGGCGCAAGCGCCUGUGACCGCUGGACACGAGGGCGACACAUCGAUCCGAGCUUCUACGACCUUCUCCCCUUCCUCCAGCUUUCCACUUCCUCCUUUCCUUCCUUAUCUUUUUCCUUCUGCUUCGACUGCCGAUCCAAUGCGCCCUCGAGUGAGCCUCGAUAAUAAAAGUCUUAUUCGAAAAGUGUUAUUCGAUCUCGAAAAAGAAGAAUAAAUUUAAAUCUUGGUUUUAAUUUAUGAUAAUCUGUUACGCACGAAUAUAGAAAUAUUCGCGAUAUCGGCAUUGCUCUUCGUGUCGGGCCGCGAAUAGCGUGAGAACCGGCUCUCCAACGUGAAAUUCCAAACGUGGACGUCGCCAUAACACGUGUGAAUCGUUUCGAUCUCCUCUUUUCCAAUUCAAUUUUUAUACAAUCCCCUUAUAUUUUAAAUUUAUGUAAUGGAACAAGAAAAAAUUAUAACGUUUGGUCCAAUGUUUUCAUCGAUUUUUUAUCAAUAAUACACACAUAUAUAUAUA
Apis cerana (Asiatic honeybee) is the source of this 3560-nucleotide long non-coding RNA. RefSeq lists it as uncharacterized. NCBI's taxonomy places the organism in Eukaryota, Metazoa, Arthropoda, Insecta, Hymenoptera, Apidae. The record is from RefSeq and is a predicted model, not a curated record.